ACCAGGUGCAGUGGCGCACGCCUGUAAUCCCAGCAACUCAGGAGGCUGAGGCAGGAGGAUUGCAAGUUUAAGAACAGCCUCAACAAUAUAGUGAGAUCCUGUCCCAA
RNAcentral lists this small RNA (107 nucleotides) under Marmota monax (woodchuck). Lineage: Eukaryota; Metazoa; Chordata; Mammalia; Rodentia; Sciuridae. The record is from RNAcentral.